UAAACUAUCGCACUGAACCCAGUACAUUUUAUUUUUUUCUAGAGAGCUGAUGGAUGGUGAAAAUCAGUAAAAAAUAAUUUGGAAGUUCCAGUUCUUUCACGUGUGCCUUUCGAAAUAAGAAAGGUCGGUAAAACAACCGUUAUUUGUUAACAAGAGCAACAUAUUUAUAUGUUGAACUCGGGUGGUACCGCGAAUGCUAGAUCAAUUCGUCCCAAGA
This 217-nucleotide non-coding RNA is filed under the name Enterococcus villorum. RNAcentral's name for it is "T-box sequence". It matches the Rfam family "T-box leader". Rfam says of the family: Uncharged tRNA acts as the effector for transcription antitermination of genes in the T-box leader family. T-boxes are found upstream of many aminoacyl-tRNA synthetase genes and some amino acid biosynthetic genes usually in Gram-positive bacteria. The record is from RNAcentral. Lineage: Bacteria; Bacillati; Bacillota; Bacilli; Lactobacillales; Enterococcaceae.